Molecule: non-coding RNA, 686 nt
Organism: Paramuricea clavata
Lineage: Eukaryota; Metazoa; Cnidaria; Anthozoa; Malacalcyonacea; Plexauridae
Source: the annotation of a GenBank genome assembly
CUCUUAUUCCCUUUAACUCGUUUAUACUAAUUUAGCUGAAAGCAGCAAGUGACCCCAAAAGAAUAAUUGUGCAACUAGUGUAAACAUUUAAAAAUUGCAAGCAAGCAACACAAAAUGGAUUAAACAUUCAAAGAUUUUAGUACUUUUUGCUCCUAGGAAUAAGAGAAAAAAAUGAAAAGCGUUGUCCUAUUUCAGGCAUGGUAUACUCAGUUCCGAAAUAUCAUCAACUCGAACAGACUUGACCAUGUAACUCAGUUGGCAGAGCAUUGAAUGGCUAGUAUCCCGAAGGCCGCAGGUUCGAUUCCCACCGUGGCCAAACUAACUUUUCAGCUUGCCCGGUGUGGAUGCACACUCAGAGUAACAUCACAAACAUCAAUCAAUAAUUUGCUGCUGUUAUAUAUCAACCUUAUAUAUUUUUUUCUUACUAGGGAUUGUCAUUAAUAUAUGGAUUUAACAAAAGCUUCCCAGGAGAAGGCAAGUUGUCUAAACAAGUGGUAUUAUAUAUGUAAUCAUUAAUGGCAUUCUAAGAACUUACCAAACCAUGCAAGGGAUGGAGUUGCCGACUUGUGGUAUACAGCUUGUUUUGUACUAAUUUUUUACUAAUGGACUUGCUUGACAUGUUUGAUUUAGAAGUGACACUACAUACAUUUAAUACAUGCAGUAUAUUUUACUUGUAAAUAUUCUAC